GACGAACGCUGGCGGCGUGCCUAACACAUGCAAGUCGAGCGAUGAAACCCUUCGGGGUGGAUUAGCGGCGGACGGGUGAGUAACACGUGGGUAACCUGCCUCAUAGAGGGGGAUAGCCUCCCGAAAGGGAGAUUAAUACCGCAUAAUGUAUUUUGUUCGCAUGAAUAAAAUAUCAAAGGAGUAAUCCACUAUGAGAUGGACCCGCGGCGCAUUAGCUAGUUGGUGAGGUAAGGGCUCACCAAGGCGACGAUGCGUAGCCGACCUGAGAGGGUGAUCGGCCACAUUGGAACUGAGACACGGUCCAGACUCCUACGGGUGGCAG
This 322-nucleotide ribosomal RNA is filed under the name uncultured Bacillota bacterium. RNAcentral describes it as "bacterial SSU rRNA". It matches the Rfam family "Bacterial small subunit ribosomal RNA", at positions 28 to 351 of the family's 1533-position model. The record is from RNAcentral. Lineage: Bacteria; Bacillati; Bacillota.